Molecule: ribosomal RNA, 454 nt
Filed under: uncultured bacterium
Lineage: Bacteria
Description: partial 16S ribosomal RNA
Rfam family: Bacterial small subunit ribosomal RNA
Source: RNAcentral
GAUGAACGCUGACAGAAUGCUUAACACAUGCAAGUCUACUUGAACUUCGGUUUGUGUGGCGGACGGGUGAGUAACGCGUAAAGAACUUGCCUCACAGUUAGGGACAACAUUUGGAAACGAAUGCUAAUACCUGAUAUUAUGAUUUUAGGGCAUCCUAGGAUUAUGAAAGCUAUAUGUGCUGUGAGAGAGCUUUGCGUCCCAUUAGCUAGUUGGAGAGGUAACGUCUCACCAAGGCGAUGAUGGGUAGCCGGCCUGAGAGGGUGAACGGCCACAAGGGGACUGAGACACGGCCCUUACUCAUACGGGAGGAAGGAGUGGGGAAUAUUGGAAAAAGGACCAAAAGUCUGAUCAAGAAAUGAUGUGUGCAAGAUGACGUUUUUCGGAAUGUAAAGUGCUUUCAGUUGGGAAGAAAAAAAUGACGGUAACAACAGAAGAAGAGACGGCUAAAUACGUG